Molecule: ribosomal RNA, 552 nt
Filed under: uncultured archaeon
Lineage: Archaea
Description: bacterial SSU rRNA
Rfam family: Archaeal small subunit ribosomal RNA
Source: RNAcentral
ACGGGGUGCAGCAGGCGCGAAAACUUUACAAUGCGGGAAACCGCGAUAAGGGGAUACCGAGUGCCAGCAUUUAUGUUGGCUGUCCACAUGUCUAAACCGCAUGUGUUAGCAAGGGCCGGGCAAGACCGGUGCCAGCCGCCGCGGUAACACCGGCGGCCCGAGUGGUGGCCACUAUUAUUGGGUCUAAAGGGUCCGUAGCCGGUUUGAUCAGUCUUCCGGGAAAUCUGACAGCUCAACUGUUAGGCUUCUGGGGGAUACUGUCAGACUUGGGACCGGGAGAGGUAAGAGGUACUACAGGGGUAGGAGUGAAAUCUUGUAAUCCCUGUGGGACCACCAGUGGCGAAGGCGUCUUACCAGAACGGGUCCGACGGUGAGGGACGAAAGCUGGGGGCACGAACCGGGUUAGAUACCCGGGUAGUCCCAGCCGUAAACGAUGCUCGCUAGGUGUCUGGGACGGUGCGACCGUUUCAGGUGCCGCAGGGAAGCCGUGAAGCGAGCCACCUGGGAAGUACGGCCGCAAGGCUAAAUUUUAAGGAAUUGGCGGGGGAGCAC